GAUGAAGAACGUAGCGAAAUGCGAUAAGUAAUGUGAAUUGCAGAAUUCAGUGAAUCAUCGAAUCUUUGAACGCACAUUGCGCCCGCCAGUAUUCUGGCGGGCAUGCCUGUUCGAGCGUCAUUUCAACCAUCAAGCCCCGGGCUUGAGUUGGGGACCUGCGGCUGCCGCAGGCCCUGAAAUGCAGUGGCGGGCUCGCUGUCACUCCGAGCGUAGUAGUUACAUCUCGCUCUGGGCGUGCUGCGGGUUCCGGCCGUUAAAAGCCUUAUUUACCCAAGGUUGACCUCGGAUCAGGUAGGAAGACCCGCUGAACUUAAGCAUAUCAAUAAGCGGAGGA
This 334-nucleotide unclassified non-coding RNA is filed under the name soil metagenome. RNAcentral describes it as "partial contains 5.8S ribosomal RNA, internal transcribed spacer 2, and large subunit ribosomal RNA". The stretch from base 1 to 120 matches the Rfam family "5.8S ribosomal RNA", at positions 35 to 154 of the family's 154-position model. The record is from RNAcentral.